Molecule: ribosomal RNA, 276 nt
Filed under: uncultured bacterium
Lineage: Bacteria
Description: partial 16S ribosomal RNA
Rfam family: Bacterial small subunit ribosomal RNA
Source: RNAcentral
CUUCCGCCGGCGACCGGCGCACGGGUGAGUAACACGUGUGCAACCUGGCCGUGACAGAUGGAUAACCGGGAGAAAUCCCGCCUAAUACAACAUAAUGCCGGGAGGGGACAUCCCCUGCCGGCCAAAGGGGGCGACCCCGGUCACGGAUGGGCAUGCGGCGCAUUAGGUAGUUGGUGGGGCAACGGCCCACCAAGCCGACGAUGCGUAGGGGUUCUGAGAGGAAGGUCCCCCACAUUGGAACUGAGACACGGUCCAAACUCCUACGGGAGGCAGCAG